Molecule: ribosomal RNA, 700 nt
Filed under: uncultured Rubrobacter sp.
Lineage: Bacteria; Bacillati; Actinomycetota; Rubrobacteria; Rubrobacterales; Rubrobacteraceae
Description: bacterial SSU rRNA
Rfam family: Bacterial small subunit ribosomal RNA
Source: RNAcentral
UCGGGGUGUAAAGCCCUUUUCGACGGGACGAUAAUGACGGUACCGUCGGAAGAAGCCCCGGCUAACUACGUGCCAGCAGCCGCGGUAAUACGUAGGGGGCGAGCGUUGUCCGGAUUCAUUGGGCGUAAAGCGCGCGCAGGCGGCUGUGCGAGCCCGGCGUGAAAGCCCCCGGCUCAACCGGGGGAGGUCGUCGGGGACCGCACGGCUAGAGGCCGGUAGGGGCGAGCGGAAUUCCCGGUGUAGUGGUGGAAUGCGUAGAGAUCGGGAGGAACACCAGUGGCGAAGGCGGCUCGCUGGGCCGGUCCUGACGCUCAGGCGCGAAAGCGUGGGGAGCGAUCCGGAUUAGAUACCCGGGUAGUCCACGCUGUAAACGAUGGGCACUAGGUGUGGGGGGAGUCGAAUCUCCCUGUGCCGAAGCCAACGCGUUAAGUGUUCCGCCUGGGGAGUACGGCCGCAAGGCUAAAACUCAAAAGAAUUGACGGGGGCCCGCACAAGCAGCGGAGCAUGUUCUUUAAUUCGAUGCAACGCGAAGAACCUUACCUGGGCUUGACAUGGUGCUGCAAGCGCACGGAAACGUGUGACCUUCGAGGGUGCACCACAGAUGCUGCAUGGCUGUCGUCAGCUCGUGUCGUGAGAUGUUGGGUUAAGUCCCGCAACGAGCGCAACCCCCGUGGCGUGUUGCCAGCAUUAAGUUGGGGAC